UGCCCAGCAACUCCUAUCCCUACCUCCUCGUGGUACUGGCCGGGGUACGAGUAACCUUGGGGAAGAUCGGGUAACCAACCCCCGGUGGGAAGUUUGGUCGUAUGCUGACAGGGAAGG
Molecule: non-coding RNA, 117 nt
Organism: Aedes aegypti (yellow fever mosquito)
Lineage: Eukaryota; Metazoa; Arthropoda; Insecta; Diptera; Culicidae
Source: Rfam